CGUGAGGUCAGCGCGCCCGGGAGCGCGCCUGUGAUUCUAAUUUUAGCCGCAGCUGGGGCUGCAGAACUUAGGUCGGCUGAGGAAUGAGGUAAAAACAUAAUUAUUUGAAGAAUGCUGGGCUGCGACACCUUGGAAAACUGAUACUUCCACUUAAAAAUUUUUUUCUAUCAAGAUGCUCAGUCAGCAUAUGAUGAAUUUCAAUUUUGACUUUGCUCUGUUGUCUGCCAUGUCACAGUGACCUGCAUUCUGUCGUUGAUAUGGUCUCCUCAAAUUUCAUAGUGACUGCCUUCUGGAGUGGCUUAUAACAAAGUAUAUACUUAAACGCCUUUUACAAAUGAUAAACAAUAAAAAUUAUUGAUGAUGAAAUUAAAAUGACAGGAAAUACCAAGAAAUAUAAUGAAAUAUUUUGUUCAUUCUAGUGUUCUUUUUUCUUAUGUUCUGGGAACAAUCCAUAUUUCUAGUUUUUGAAAUCUGACUUUGUCAUUUUUCCUCAAAAGUUCCAAAAAAAAUCAAUGAGGGAAAAAUAUUUGCUGUGGAAUGGAGGGUCCUUCUGUGGUUAAUAUUGAUGACUAAUGAAGGUCUGUAAAUCUAUAUUGAAAACUUUUUUUCAAAAUAUAAUGGUUAUUAUAAAUGAGAGCUUUUUGUAUUGGUUUCUUUACAUAUAGUACAAUGCCUUGAACAGAGUCUAGACAUAAAUAUUAGUUAAAUUGAAGUAAGAUAACUAGUUCUUAAUUCACUGACUGUACAAAAAAGGUUAGAAAUGAAAGUUUUAAAUUGUUGAAAGCUUAAUUUGUCCAGCAUAGAUGCUAACAGGAUGAUUCAAGUUUUUAAAAAAUAUUUUUUAUUUUUCAUUUUCAAAUAUUAAUAGCUUAAUGAUGCUUGUAAGAAUUAGAAAUCUUAAUAUUUUAAAAACAUAAUCAGGAUUCUCUUUGCUGUUAAAAAAAAGAAAAGAAAAGUUGUCUUUUUGUCUCAUAUUAGACAAAUCCAACCAUUAUUUCUGGUCUAAUGUUUACUUGGUGAGGACCCUAUAUUGAUCAGAUGUGAAUGGUAAAUCAUGUUCUUAAAGUGAGCUAGUUUUAUGUGGUUGUCUUUUUUAUUGUAUGUUGCACUUAGUAAUCUUGAAUUGAUGAUUUAAGUUUGUUAUCCUUAAGAAUUAAUUUGUUUUGAAAAACAUUUUUAAAUUAACCUGUUUUAAUAAAAUUUAAAUUUUAGUUUGCA
Antechinus flavipes (yellow-footed antechinus) is the source of this 1218-nucleotide long non-coding RNA. RefSeq lists it as uncharacterized. Lineage: Eukaryota; Metazoa; Chordata; Mammalia; Dasyuromorphia; Dasyuridae. The record is from RefSeq and is a predicted model, not a curated record. The transcript is spliced from 2 exons.